Cucurbita maxima (winter squash) is the source of this 3345-nucleotide RNA transcript. It is a transcript of the gene named putative calcium-transporting ATPase 13, plasma membrane-type, with no coding region annotated. The transcript has 3 exons. The record is from RefSeq and is a predicted model, not a curated record. NCBI's taxonomy places the organism in Eukaryota, Viridiplantae, Streptophyta, Magnoliopsida, Cucurbitales, Cucurbitaceae.
UUUCCUAUAAGAAGGAAGUAAAUCCAUGGGUUUCUUCAAUCCAAUUCAUUUUCUGUUUGUUCAUCCUUUGAUUUCUUCAUCAAAAUCAAUUUGUUGUUGCGUCCAUGGCGUUGAGGUGCAGGAAAAGUGAUGAGGUAGUUGAAGUUCUUAAUCGUGAAGAACGCCUGGUUAUGGCUAAAACUCACAAACGGAGGUGGAAGAUGGCCUUUGCCGCCAUUUAUUUCACUAGAGCUCUCAUCUCUCUGACGAGGAAGGUCACUGACCGUAAAUCCGGCGCUCUUUUGCCGUCACUUUCGUUUGUUACUCUUGAUGUGCAGGUUAAUGAUGAUAGUACGGAUUCUGGCGAGCAGCCGUGCAUGGCAGGCUUUUUCGGCGUAGAUCAGAAAGUUCUAAGUGAGAUGGUGAGGGAGAAGGACUGUGAGUGUUUGAAUCGAUUUGGAGGCGUUGAUGGACUGGCCAAUCUUCUUAAAACUGAUCCACAUGACGGAAUUUGUGCAACUCAGGAUGAUCUAACUUACAGAACAAACGCUUUUGGAACAAAUACUUACUCGAAGCGCCACGGCAAAAGCUUCUUUAGUUACGUGAUCGAAGCGUUUAACGAUACAACAAUAAUCAUUCUAUUGAUCUGUGCAGUGCUUUCUUUGGGAUUUGGUAUCAAACAACACGGUUGGGAUGAUGGAUGGUACGACGGUGGCAGCAUUGUCAUCGCCAUAUUUCUGGUGGUCGUCGUUUCCGCCGCGAGCAACUUCAAGCAAUCGCGACAGUUCGAGAAGCUUUCAAACGAGAGAGAUGAUAUAAAAAUCGAGGUCACCAGAGCCGGUCGACGCAAAUCAGUAUCGAUAUUCGAACUCCUUGUCGGAGACAUCGUGUAUUUGAAGAUCGGAGAUCAGAUUCCCGCGGACGGAGUGUUCCUCGAUGGACAUUCGCUGAAGAUCGACGAAUCGAGCAUGACUGGAGAGAGCGAACACGCUGAAGUAAAUCACGGAAUUAAUCCAUUUCUGCUAUCAGGAACCAAAGUGAACGAUGGAUUUGGUGUGAUGAUGGUGACUUCUGUGGGAAUGAACACAGCCUGGGGAGAAAUGAUGAGUUCAAUUAGAAGGGAAAUUAAUGAGGAAACUCCAUUGCAAGGUCGUCUGAACAAGAUGACCGCCAUUAUCGGGAAGCUAGGACUGACGGUCGCCGUGGUGGUGCUUCUUGUUCUGCUGGUUCGCUAUUUCACUGGUAGCACCGGCGAGUUCAAUGGAAGCAAGACGAGGUUCGAUGAUGUUAUGAAUGCAGUUCUUGGCAUGGUUGCGGCGGCUGUUACAAUCGUUGUGGUGGCGAUUCCGGAAGGUUUGCCUCUAGCUGUUACUUUAACUUUAGCUUACUCCAUGAAAAAGAUGAUGGCGGAUAAUGCAAUGGUUCGGAAACUCUCUGCUUGUGAGACCCUGGGCUCAGCAACCACAAUUUGUACUGAUAAAACUGGUACCCUUACUUUGAAUCAGAUGAAAGUUACAGAGUUUUGGAUUGGGGAAGAUGAAAUUAUGAACAUAGAUUAUUCCAAUUCAAGGAUUAGCAGUAAGGUUGUUGAAUUACUGCACCAAGCAGUUGGAUUGAACACAACUGGUAGUAUUCAAACACCAGCUUCUUCAUUGCCUCUAGAAACCUUCGGGAGUCCGACCGAGAAAGCGAUACUUUCAUGGGCGGCAUUCGACCUGGAUUUGAACUUGGAUGAACUGAAGAAACAACAUGAGAUAAUCCUGGUAGAGACUUUCAGUUCAGAGAAGAAGAGAAGUGGAGUUUCGACACGACGACACGGGACGAGGCUUGUUAAUACACACUGGAAAGGAGCAGCAGAGAUAAUAUUGGCUAUGUGUUCAUAUUACUAUGAGAAACAAGGAACAGCUAGAGCCAUUGAUGGUGAAAUGAGAAGACAAUUGACUGAAAUAAUCACAGCCAUGGCAGAAAAAAGUCUCCGAUGCAUAGCCUUUGCUCACAAGUCGAAUGAAGACGACGAUAUCCGAGACGUUCCUGCAAAACUCGACGAAUCGGAAUUGACAUUACUCGGAAUAGUUGGUUUGAAGGAUCCUUGCAGGGCAGGAGUUAGAGAAGCUGUGGAAUCAUGUAGAGCUGCUGGAGUGAGUAUCAAAAUGGUGACGGGUGAUAAUCUGCACACAGCAACAGCCAUAGCAAUUGAAUGUGGAAUACUAAAUCCCGAUGACGACGCUACAAACAGCGAAGUAGUUGUGGAGGGCGUAAAAUUUAGAAACUACACACCUGAGGAGAGGCUAGAAAAGAUUGGGAACAUCCGAGUGAUGGCUAGAUCUUCCCCAUUUGACAAGCUUCUAAUGGUACAGUGCUUGAAGAAUCAAGGCCAUGUGGUGGCAGUCACCGGGGAUGGAACAAAUGAUGCCCCAGCUCUUCACGAGGCUGACAUUGGCCUUUCCAUGGGAAUUCAAGGAACUGAAGUGGCAAAGGAGAGCUCCGACAUCGUCAUCUUAGACGAUAACUUUACAUCGGUCGUCACCGUCUUGAAAUGGGGAAGAUGUGUUUACAACAACAUUCAAAAAUUCAUUCAAUUUCAGCUCACUGUGAACAUUGCAGCAUUAGUCAUCAACUUCAUCGCCGCUGUCUCGUCCGGUAAAGUCCCACUAACAGCGGUACAGCUACUAUGGGUGAAUCUCAUCAUGGACACCAUGGGAGCUUUAGCCUUAGCUACUGAGCUACCCACCAACGAUCUCAUGACGAAAACGCCGGUCGGUCGAUCCGAUCCAUUAGUAACGAAGAUCAUGUGGAGGAAUCUCAUAACUCAGGCUGUGUAUCAAGUGACAGUCUUGCUGGUUUUGGAAUUUAAAGGAAGUUCCAUCUUCAAUGUCAAUGAGAAGGUUAAGAGCACACUGAUCUUCAACACUUUUGUUCUAUGCCAAAUCUUCAAUGAGUUCAAUGCAAGGAAGCUGGAGAAGAAGAACAUAUUUGAAGGGCUACACAAAAGCAAGCUGUUUUUGGCAAUAAUUGUGAUAACCUUAGCUUUUCAAGUGGUAAUGGUUGAGGUUUUGGGAAGGUUUGCUAAUACUGAGAGGUUGAAUUGGGGCCAGUGGGGGGCAUGUCUUGGCAUAGCAGCUUUGUCUUGGCCAAUUGGAUGGCUAUCCAAGUUGAUACCAGUUUCAGCCCUGCAGUUUCCAAGGGGAAGAAACUCAGCACAAUAAAUCUUCCAUCAACUCAAUCAGACUUCUUAAACUGGCUGACGGGUUGAGUAUCCAAAUACCGAAGUGAAACUGGGAAAUCAAGGAAUCGAGAGUGAAAAGAAUGGCAGAGGGGCAAGGAGUUCAGAUUCCCAGAGUGCAACUUGGAAGUCAGGGACUUCAG